This 461-nucleotide ribosomal RNA is filed under the name uncultured bacterium. Its description in RNAcentral is "partial 16S ribosomal RNA". It matches the Rfam family "Bacterial small subunit ribosomal RNA", at positions 28 to 506 of the family's 1533-position model. The record is from RNAcentral.
GACGAACGCUGGCGGCGUGCUUAACACAUGCAAGUCGAACGGAAAGGCCCUUCGGGGUACUCGAGUGGCGAACGGGUGAGUAACACGUGGGUGAUCUGCCCUGCACUUUGGGAUAAGCCUGGGAAACUGGGUCUAAUACCGAAUAGGACCACGCGCUUCAUGGUGUGUGGUGGAAAGCUUUUGCGGUGUGGGAUGGGCCCGCGGCCUAUCAGCUUGUUGGUGGGGUAAUGGCCUACCAAGGCGACGACGGGUAGCCGGCCUGAGAGGGUGACCGGCCACACUGGGACUGAGAUACGGCCCAGACUCCUACGGGAGGCAGCAGUGGGGAAUAUUGCACAAUGGGCGCAAGCCUGAUGCAGCGACGCCGCAUGAGGGAUGACGGCCUUCGGGUUGUAAACCUCUUUCAAUAGGGACGAAGCGCAAGUGACGGUACCUAUAGAAGAAGCACCGGCCAACUACGU